GACGAACGCUGGCGGCGUGCUUAACACAUGCAAGUCGAACGAUGAUGCCCAGCUUGCUGGGCGGAUUAGUGGCGAACGGGUGAGUAACACGUGAGUAACCCGCCCUUGACUUCGGGAUAACUCCGGGAAACCGGGGCUAAUACCGGAUAUGAGCCGUCCUCGCAUGGGGGUGGUUGGAAAGUUUUUCGGUCAGGGAUGGGCUCGCGGCCUAUCAGCUUGUUGGUGGGGUGAUGGCCUACCAAGGCGACGACGGGUAGCCGGCCUGAGAGGGCGACCGGCCACACUGGGACUGAGACACGGCCCAGACUCCUACGGGAGGCAGCAGUGGGGAAUAUUGCACAAUGGGCGAAAGCCUGAUGCAGCGACGCCGCGUGAGGGAUGAAGGCCUUCGGGUUGUAAACCUCUUUCAGCAGGGAAGAAGCGCAAGUGACGGUACCUGCAGAAGAAGCGCCGGCUAACUACGUGCCAGCAGCCGCGGUAAUACGUAGGGCGCAAGCGUUGUCCGGAAUUAUUGGGCGUAAAGAGCUCGUAGGCGGUUUGUCGCGUCUGGUGUGAAAACUCGAGGCUCAACCUCGAGCUUGCAUCGGGUACGGGCAGACUAGAGUGCGGUAGGGGAGACUGGAAUUCCUGGUGUAGCGGUGGAAUGCGCAGAUAUCAGGAGGAGCACCGAUGGCGAAGGCAGGUCUCUGGGCCGCAACUGACGCUGAGGAGCGAAAGCAUGGGGAGCGAACAGG
RNAcentral lists this ribosomal RNA (734 nucleotides) under uncultured Cellulosimicrobium sp. RNAcentral's name for it is "bacterial SSU rRNA". It matches the Rfam family "Bacterial small subunit ribosomal RNA", at positions 28 to 776 of the family's 1533-position model. Lineage: Bacteria; Bacillati; Actinomycetota; Actinomycetes; Micrococcales; Promicromonosporaceae. The record is from RNAcentral.